Molecule: long non-coding RNA, 237 nt
Organism: Herpailurus yagouaroundi (jaguarundi)
Lineage: Eukaryota; Metazoa; Chordata; Mammalia; Carnivora; Felidae
Exons: 3
Source: RefSeq, a predicted model, not a curated record
UUUCACUUGGUUUAAUACCUUCCAGGUCCAUCCAUGUUGUCGCAAAUGUGAUAUCUGGCAGCCAUGUCAGAAAAAUACCAAAAAUAGAGGAAGAACAAGAAGAUUUACUUGAUUAAAAAAGUAGCUGAAAGACAAGUUCAGAGAGGGAUUCAGGAACAUGAGAGAAUUUGAAAAAUCUGAUCCAGAAAAAAUAGGCAAGAUAGUGCAAGCCAGGGAGGGGCAGAGAGAGAGGAACAG